CUCUCUCCCUCUCUCUCUCUCUCUCUCUCUCUUUCUCUGCGUUUUCUGUUUUGUUUUCUCUGGAGAGAAAGAUAAAAGGGAAAAACGUAAGGUGAAAAGUUUUAUAGUUUCCGCUUCUCCUUCUCUAAUUUCAUAUUCCCUCCACCUUAGGUUUUUGCAGAGCUUCGAAGAAGAAUCACAUAUAUAAUCUAAACCUAUAUACACCUUUUUUUUGCUUCCAUUUCUUCGACUGAAGAAGACUUUGGCUAUUCGACGACUCAACGAUCCCCUCGGAUUUUGGUGAUCUCUGCUCGGAGCUAAGGGAUUAGAAUUCUCGCUGGAAUCGGUUUGGCUUUGAAUCGGAGUUGGAAGCAUGAUUUGAGGUUCGAGAGGGGAAGAGUUUAACGGAGAUGAAGAGGUCUCGUGACGACGGUUAUACAAGCUCGCAAGUUAAACGGCCCAUGGUUACCUCUCGAGGCGAGCCCUCGGGGCAGCCGCAGAUGAUGACAGCAACAGCUUCCCAGAAACUAACAACCAAUGAUGCCUUAUCAUAUCUAAAGGCGGUGAAGGAGAUAUUUGAAAACAACAAGGAAAAAUACGAAGACUUUCUUGAAGUUAUGAAAGACUUCAAAGCUCAGAGAGUUGACACCUCGGGUGUGAUACAGAGGGUAAAGGAUUUAUUUAAAGGGCAUCGAGACCUAAUAUUAGGCUUCAAUACCUUCUUGCCAAAGGGAUAUGAAAUCACUCUCCCUCUCGAUGACGAACAACCUCCUCAAAAGAAGCCCGUUGAAUUUGAAGAAGCUAUCAGUUUUGUCAACAAAAUUAAGACUCGAUUUCAACAUGAUGAUCAUGUUUAUAAAUCCUUUUUGGACAUUUUGAAUAUGUACAGAAAGGAAAACAAGUCCAUCUCUGAAGUUUACCAGGAGGUCUCAGCACUUUUUCAAGACCACCCAGACUUACUUGUGGAGUUUACUCACUUUUUACCUGAUACUUCAGCAACAGCCUCCACCCAGUUUGCUCCAUCUCAAAGAAACUCAAUGCUUCGUGAUAGGAGCUCUGCCAUGCCCCCUAUGAGGCAAAUGCAUGUUGAUAAGAAAGAAAGGCCUAUGGGUUCUUACCCUGAGCAUGAUCUCAGUGUUGACCGUCCUGAUCUGGACCAUGAUAGAGCUCUGAUGAAAGCUGAGAAAGAGCAAAGGAGGCGUGGUGAAAAAGAAAAGGAGAGGAGAGAAGACAGAGAAAGACGAGAUGAUAGGGAUUUUGACCAUGAUGACAGUAGGGACUUCAACAUGCAGCGUUUUCCACACAAACGGAAAUCCACUCGUAGGGGUGAAGACUUGGCUACUGACCAAUUGCAUCAAGGUGGGGAAGACGAUGAAAACCUUGGAGCACAUCUCAUUUCAUCUUCUUAUGAUGAUAAAAAUUCUGCAAAAAGUAUAUAUGGCUCGGAGAGUGCCUUCUGUGAGAAGGUGAAGGAGAAGUUACGAAAUCCUGAUGAUUAUCAGGAGUUUUUGAAGUGCCUCCAUAUUUAUAGCAAGGAAAUUAUUACCCGGGCUGAAUUGCAGUCAUUGGUGGGUGAUUUACUUGGAAAAUAUCCGGAUCUUAUGGAUGGGUUCAAUGAAUUUUUGUCAUGUUGUGAGAAGAAAGAUGGGUUCCUUGCUGGUGUCAUGAGUAAAAAAUCUUUGUGGAAUGAAGGCAAUCUACCAAGACCAGUGAAGGUAGAGGAUAAGGAGAAAGAUCGAGAUCGUGAAAGGGAUGAUGUGGUUAGAGAUAGAGAGCGUGAAAACCGAGAAAGGGAUAGACCUGAUAGAAAUGGUGCCUUUGGAAAUAAAGAAAUUGGAGGCCAGAAGAUCUCUAUAUUUUCCGGCAAGGACAAAUAUUUGGCAAAACCUAUUAAUGAGCUUGACCUCUCUAAUUGUGAGCGUUGCACUCCGAGCUAUCGUCUUCUGCCAAAGAAUUAUCCAAUACCUUCUGCUAGCCAAAGAACAGAACUUGGGUCUGAAGUACUAAAUGAUCAUUGGGUGUCUGUUACUUCUGGAAGCGAGGAUUAUUCUUUUAAACACAUGCGCAAAAACCAGUAUGAAGAAAGCCUGUUUCGGUGUGAAGAUGAUAGGUUUGAAUUAGAUAUGCUGUUAGAGUCUGUGAAUGUAACGACCAAGCGUGUGGAAGAACUAUUAGAGAAGAUCAACAACAAUACCAUUAAGACUGAGAGUCCAAUCCGUGUAGAAGAAUACUUCACAGCUCUGAAUCUAAGGUGCGUUGAGCGAUUAUAUGGUGACCACGGGCUUGAUGUAAUGGAUGUGUUGAGGAAAAAUGCUCCACUAGCUUUGCCUGUUAUAUUAACGCGCUUGAAGCAAAAGCAAGAAGAGUGGGCAAGGUGUCGCUCUGAUUUUAACAAAGUCUGGGCUGAUAUAUAUGCCAAGAACUAUCACAAGUCACUUGAUCAUCGUAGCUUCUACUUCAAGCAACAGGACUCAAAGAGCUUAAGCACCAAAGCCUUGUUGGCAGAGAUUAAAGAGAUGAGUGAGAAGAAGCGGAAGGAAGAUGAUGUUCUUCUUGCUAUUGCUGCUGGAAAUAGACGUCCUAUUAUUCCAAAUUUGGAAUUCGAGUACCCUGAUCCGGACAUCCAUGAAGAUCUGUAUCAACUCAUCAAAUAUUCUUGUGGAGAAGUUUGCACAACCGAGCAAUUGGACAAAGUUAUGAAGAUAUGGACAACCUUCCUUGAGCCAGUGCUUGGUGUUCCUCCUCGGCCUCAGGUUGCAGAGGAUACUGAAGAUGUUGUGAAGGCAAAAACUCAUGCUGGCAAAAAUGGUGCUGUGAGUGGGGGAGAGAGUGAUGAUAAUCCUGAUGGUGGGGCUACUGUGACAAAUUCUAAACAGUUAAAUUCAUCGAGAAAUGGAGACGAAAGCAUUCAACCUGAACAAUCAAGCUCUGCAAGAGCUUGGACAGUAAAUGGAGCUAAUGGGCUCAAAGAAGAAAGUUCUCAUGACAUUGAUCGUGCUACAUGUAAAGGUGAUACUUUCUGCAAUACCUCUCAACAAGGUAAAGUGCAAAGUAAUGCAUCUACAGCCGAUGAAAUGUCUGGAGUUAGCAAACAAGACAAUUUUAAUGAACGAUUAGUCAAUUCUAAUGUAUCACUUGCUACUGGCUUGGAGCAAAGCAAUGGAAGAACUAAUGUGGAAAACUCAUCAGGUCUUAGUCCUACUCCUUCCAGACCUGGAAAUUGCACUGUUGAGGGUGGGCUUGAGUUACCUUCACGGUCUUCACCAGAGGGUGGUGAUUCUACUAGACCAGUAAUAUCCUCAAAUGGAGCAACCACAGAAGCCACGAAAGGUCACAGAUAUGUGGAAGAGUCGGUUAGACACUUCAAGAUUGAAAGAGAAGAAGGUGAAAUAUCUCCAAAUGGAGAUUUUGAGGAGGAUAAUUUUGCAAACUAUAGAGAAGCCGGUUCAGAGGCUGUUCAAAAACCAAAGGAUGGUGUUUCCAGCAGGCAACUUAAAGGCAGGCAUGGGGAAGAAGAAAUAUGUGGUGGAGAUGCAGGUGGAGAAAAUGAGGCUGACGCUGAUGAUGAAGGUGAGGAAAGUGCUCAUAGAUCAUCAGAGGAUAGUGAGAAUGCUUCCGAGAAUGGCGAUGUCUCUGGAAGUGAAUCUGGUGAAGGAGAGGAAUGUUCUCGAGAAGAGCGUGAGGAAGAUGGGGACCAUGAUGAGCAUGAUACUAAGGCCGAAAGUGAAGGUGAAGCUGAAGGGACGGCCGACGCCCAUGAUGUUGAAGGAGAUGGAACUUCUUUACCGCACUCAGAACGUUUUCUACUUUCUGUGAAGCCUCUUGCAAAACAUGUUCUUCCAGCUUUACAUGACAAGGACAAGGACUCAAGGAUUUUCUAUGGAAACGAUUCUUUCUAUGUACUUUUUAGGCUUCACCAAACACUAUAUGAGAGAAUACAAUCAGCAAAGAUUAACUCGUCAUCAGCGGAGAAGAAGUGGCGGGCAUCAAAUGAUACAAGCACUUCUGAUUCGUAUGCUAGAUUCAUGAAUGCCCUUUACAAUUUACUUGACGGUUCUUCUGACAAUACAAAAUUUGAGGAUGAUUGUCGAGCUAUCAUUGGGACUCAGUCAUAUCUUCUUUUCACAUUAGACAAGCUGAUCUACAAGCUUGUUAAACAGCUUCAAACAGUCGCCAGUGACGAGAUGGAUAAUAAACUUGUCCAACUAUAUGCAUUUGAAAAAUCAAGAAAACCAGGAAGAUUUGUGGAUGUAGUUUAUCAUGAAAAUGCUCGUGUUCUUCUUCACGAUGAGAACAUUUAUCGCAUAGAAUGUUUCUCUUUGCCAACCCGGGUGUCUAUUCAGCUUAUGGAUUAUGGGAAUGAUAAGCCUGAAAUGACUGCUGUUUCAAUGGACCCUAAUUUUUCUGCUUAUCUGCACAAUGAUUUUCUCACUGUUCUUCCUGACAAAAGAGAGAAGUCUGGGAUCUUCUUGAAGAGGAACAAACGCAAAUAUGCGAGUUGUGAUGAUUUGUCUGCUAUUUGUCAGGCCAUGGAAGGACUUAAAGUCGCCAAUGGUCUGGAGUGUAAGAUAGCUUGUCAUUCAUCCAAGGUAUCAUAUGUUUUAGAUACAGAAGACUUUUUGUUUCGGACAAAAAGGAGAAAAAAAACUUCAAACAGUUCCUGCCAUAACCAGGCUAGGUCUUCUAGUGGUUCAAGUAGAGUAGAGCGGUUUCACCAGUUGCUCUCUGGCUCAUGAUAUGCCUUCUUUUGACCGUCAAGUAUAUAUGUAGCAUUUUCAACGCAUUGUAUGCACCAGCGCUGGAGAUUUGGAAAAAUUGACGCGCUGUGAGCGAAAGAAGCUUGUGGAAUUACUUUGUAUCCUCAUAUUUCCGCCUCUCCGACCAAAUAAAGAAAUGAGAGAGGGAGAUAUGGCUCGAAAGUAGUAUACUUUGAGUUGGCACUUUGAGCCGCAUUCUUGUAAAUAGAGUUCUUGUAUGUAUCGGUCAUCAAAAUGGCCUGCUGGCUGAUAUGCCUGCCUUGAAAAGGUCGAACAGCCACUGUUACGGACCUCAAUUGUUUAAACUGUUUUAAAAGGGUUUUUUUUUUCAUCA
Rosa rugosa (rugosa rose) is the source of this 5070-nucleotide RNA transcript. It is a transcript of the gene named paired amphipathic helix protein Sin3-like 4, with no coding region annotated. Lineage: Eukaryota; Viridiplantae; Streptophyta; Magnoliopsida; Rosales; Rosaceae. The record is from RefSeq and is a predicted model, not a curated record. The transcript is spliced from 26 exons.